GAUCCUGGCUUAGGAUGAACGCUAGCGACAGGCUUAACACGUGCAAGUCGAGGGGCAGCAUAAAAGUAGCAAUACGUUGGUGGCGACCGGCGCACGGGUGAGUAACGCGUAUGCAACCUACCUAUCAGAGGGGAAUAACCCGGCGAAAGUCGGACUAAUACCGCAUAAAACAGGGGCACCGCAUGGUGAUAUUUGUUAAAGAGAUUCGCUGAUAGAUGGGCAUGCGUUCCAUUAGGUAGUUGGUGAGGUAACGGCUCACCAAGCCGACGAUGGAUAGGGGAACUGAGAGGUUGGUCCCCCACACUGGUACUGAGACACGGACCAGACUCCUACGGGAGGCAGCAGUGAGGAAUAUUGGUCAAUGGGCGGGAGCCUGAACCAGCCAAGUCGCCGUGAAGGAAGAAGGAUCUAUGGUUCGUAAACUUCUUUUGCAGGGGAAUAAAGUGCAGGACGUGUCCUGCUUUGUAUGUACCCUGAGAAUAAGGAUCGGCUAACUCCGUGCCAGCCGCCGC
Molecule: ribosomal RNA, 512 nt
Filed under: uncultured bacterium
Lineage: Bacteria
Description: bacterial SSU rRNA
Rfam family: Bacterial small subunit ribosomal RNA
Source: RNAcentral